CGGCCACUGGCUGCCAAUUUUAAACAUCAGGGAUAUGUAUCCACUUAGCCCUGACUUUUGGGAGGGGCCAAGGAGAGAGUGCAAUUUCGUGAAUUGGGCUUGUGGGGUUUAGAGACAGCCAGAGAGCCUUCCUUGUACGGUAGUGCUCUCGCCUGAACGCCACUGCUGCCUUCCUAGACCGGCCAGAGAGUUGGCUUUGCUGCAGAGGUCUUGGUUUGGACUGGCUGAAGAGCUGCCAUUCUAAAUUAAUCUCAGCUUUCAGUCUUUGGGACACAAUUAGCAGGCUUUAAUUUCUGAUUUGGGGGGUUUAUCUGAACUUGAAUAUACAUCAUGGACGACUUUGAACGUCGCAGAGAGCUUAGGAGACAAAAACGGGAGGAGAUGCGCCUGGAAGCAGAGAGGUCUUCAGUCCUGAUCCUGGCUUACUCCAGGCUGCAUCAUCUGACUCCUGUCUGAAACAAUGAAGAGCAGCUGAGCAAAGAGGCGAGACACCCCCCUUCACUGAAGCACCUCCCUCUGUUAUUCCUCCAAAACUGAUGAACAUGCUCUUGAAAAAAACAGCAUGUACUCACUCGUGCCGGCUAGAUUCCUCACUUGAAAACUGGAUGCUUAAAGUGCUUUCUAUUACUUUAUUGGAGAUUGUUUUAGGCCAAAGAAAGGCACAAUCUGUUGAGCUGUUUUUAAAACCAGUAUCUAGGGCAGGAUUUCCAACUGUUAAGAUUUGUGGUCUUCAAUUCCCA
Non-coding RNA from Python bivittatus (Burmese python), 740 nucleotides. Lineage: Eukaryota; Metazoa; Chordata; Lepidosauria; Squamata; Pythonidae. The record is from RefSeq and is a predicted model, not a curated record.